Molecule: long non-coding RNA, 1311 nt
Filed under: Homo sapiens (human)
Lineage: Eukaryota; Metazoa; Chordata; Mammalia; Primates; Hominidae
Description: HSALNT0110270
Source: RNAcentral
CAUGAUUUGAGGCUUCCCCAGCCAUGUGGAACUAGAGGACAAAGGAGCACAUGCUCAAAAAGAAGUAGAUUGGGAGUGCCUGCGGACCCAGAGACUGACCAUCAAAGAAGACAGGAAAGUUAAGGCUCAGAGUGGCCAAGUGACUUCCUCAUGACAUUUCAGCAUUGACUUGUGGCCUCCCAAUCACAAACCUGGACCCUGUGAAUACCAAAAUCUGGGGAUACUCAAGUCCCUUAUAUAAAAUGGUAUAAUGGUGCAUAGCCCAUGCACAUAAUCUCUAGAUUACUUAUAAUAUCUAAUACAAUGUAAGUGGUAUGUAAAUAGUAGUUAUACUUUAUUGAUUUUUAUUUGUAUUUUUAGCUGUUGUAUUGUUAUUGUUUUUUAUUCCCAAAUAUUUCCCAUCUGCCAUUGGUUGAAUACAGGAUGCAGAACUGGAGGAUAUGAAGGGCUGAGUGUAGUUAGUAAAUUCAUAGAUAAGGAUCUUUCUUAUCAGAAUCAAAUAAAUGCAAAUUAAAAAACAAAAAUGUAAUGUCUUAGCUACUGAAUUUAUUUUCCCUAAAAUUAACAAUACCUAAUACUAGAAGCAGCAUCUUCAAAACUGGUUGUUGGUCUAGGAGACUGUGGUUAAAUUUCUUUUUUAGUCUUGAAGGCUUCAUAAUGCCCACAAUAUAUUUAUUUUCUCUCGUCUUUGGGAAAAGAAAAUCUGUGACUUUUCCUAUUAUUCUGAAGUAACUCCCACAAAGACUUCAAUGCACCUUCCUCAGAAAGACAAAUUUUGCAUCAUUGCAACAAUAAGUAUUUAUACUUUGUAAGGCUUGCAAACUUCCAUUGAGAAAGCAUUGCUCAAAAUAUUUGCCAGUUUGCGGUUUAAUGACACCUCAAGUGACAUUAUGUCUUUGCUGUCACUCACAUUUCCUAGAAGAAUUUUUAAGGGAUGGAAAGAAAUCCUCCAGGUUGUAAUAGAACCCCAGUUUUGAGGGGUUUAUUAUUUUGGACCUACAAAAUAAUUAUAAUCAGACAGCUUAAAUCAGUGUGGUAAUAUUUGCGUGCUGUACUGUAAUACUGUUUUGCAUAAAGAAUAAAGGGACAAUGAAAUAACACUUUGAUUGUUUUUUCUAAUACUUGAAAUUUUAAAAUAUUUGCUUCAUUGUGUAUUUUUCAAAAUGCAGACAUUAGGCCUGGCUUAAACAGUGAUCCUGUUUUGGUAGGCAUUCAAUAAUAUUGCACGUGGCACCAUCCUUUGGAAAAUUGUUUUAUGUAUCAAUAACUUAAAAAUAUUAUGGGCUAGGUGUAGUGGCUCACGCCUGUAAU